Molecule: ribosomal RNA, 1361 nt
Filed under: Petrobius brevistylis
Lineage: Eukaryota; Metazoa; Arthropoda; Insecta; Archaeognatha; Machilidae
Description: 16S ribosomal RNA
Rfam family: Bacterial large subunit ribosomal RNA (bases 908-1287)
Source: RNAcentral
UAAUGGUUUGCUAUAUUAAUUAAUAUGUUUAUUAAUAACAUUAUUGAUAUUAAAAUAUUAUUGUUUCUAGUAUUAUAAAGAAAGAUUUGAAUAUAUGUUUACAGUUACAGAUAUGGGUUUUUGAAAUAGUUGGUUUAAAAGCUAAUUUUUUAAUAGUAAUAAUAUAAUUAUGUACCUUUUGUAUCAGGGUUUUACAAUUUUAUGUAAGAAUUUAAGUUUCCCGAAGUAUUUCUGAUCUAUUAUAAUAUAGAGUUCAGCGUGAUAUAGUUAUCUUUAAUAUUGUGAUUGUAACGAAAAGUUAAUCGUAGAAUAGGAUAUCGUGUUGUCAAGAAUAAAAUAUAAUUUUGUUACGUAGGUGAAGUUAUACACCUGAAAGGUUUGUUCUUUGGUAAAAAGCUUUGCUGCGUCGGCUAAUGGUUGAGGGAUAAUCUUCAAUUAUGAUUUUAAAAAUGUUUCGUUUUGAUCAAAUUAGGAUUUGAAGCUUCCUUAAUCUAAAAUGGCGUUCUAGCAUGUUUAAAUUGAUAGAAUAAUUAGUAAUUUAUAUAAAAUUUUAAGUUGUAUAUUAGACUGUUAAUAAUAAUUAAGUAUUGAUUUUUCUAAUAAUGUAAGAAAUAGUAUAAUUAAUGUUUGUAAUAGUUUUUAUAAAUAAAUAAAAGUUGUAAAAGGAAUUCGGCAAGAGUUUUUCCGCCUGUUUACCAAAAACAUGGCCUUUUGUGUUAAUAUGAUAGGUCCGGCCUGCCCACUGAUUUAUUGUUAAAUGGCCGCGGUAUAUUAACCGUGCAGAUGUAGCAUAGUAAUUUGUCUUUUAAUUGAAGGCUGGAAUGAAAGGUUUUACGAGAUAAACGCUGUCUCUUAUAAAUAUUUGUAAUUUAACUUUUUAGUGAAAAGGCUUAAGGUUAAAAUGUUUCUGGAUGACAAUAAGACCCUAUAGAUCUUAAAUAUAUUAUGGAAAUUUUUAUUUUAGAUGUGUAGAUUGCUAAUUUUGUAAGUAUUUUAGUUGGGGCGACAUGAAGAAACAAAAAUCUCUUUGUGGAAAAUUACAUUUAUAUAUGUAAUGCCAAUUAAUUGAUCCUAAAUUUUAGAUUAUAAGAUUAAGUUACCUUAGGGAUAACAGCGUAAUCUUUUUUAAGAGUUCAAAUCGACAAAAAGGGUUGCAACCUCGAUGUUGGAUUAAGAUUUCCUUAAAAAUUGGUGUAGCAGCUGAAAUAGGGAAGGUCUGUUCGACCUUUAAAUUCUUACAUGAUCUGAGUUCAAACCGGCGUGAGCCAGGUUGGUUUAUAUCCACAGAUACUUAUAUUUCUUCUUAGUACAAAAAGGACCAGUAGGAGCAAAUAAUAUUAUUAUUGAAAAAAUAUAAAUUA